GAUCAAGUAAAGUGGUUGACCUAUGUUCUUCUAAACCGUGGGUCGGGGGUUCGAAUCCCUCCUAGAUCA
This 69-nucleotide transfer RNA is filed under the name Megasphaera micronuciformis. RNAcentral describes it as "tRNA-Ser". It matches the Rfam family "tRNA". Rfam says of the family: Transfer RNA (tRNA) molecules are approximately 80 nucleotides in length. Their secondary structure includes four short double-helical elements and three loops (D, anti-codon, and T loops). Further hydrogen bonds mediate the characteristic L-shaped molecular structure. tRNAs have two regions of fundamental functional importance: the anti-codon, which is responsible for specific mRNA codon recognition, and the 3' end, to which the tRNAs corresponding amino acid is attached (by aminoacyl-tRNA synthetases). tRNAs cope with the degeneracy of the genetic code in two manners: having more than one tRNA (with a specific anti-codon) for a particular amino acid; and 'wobble' base-pairing, i.e. permitting non-standard base-pairing at the 3rd anti-codon position. The record is from RNAcentral. Lineage: Bacteria; Bacillati; Bacillota; Negativicutes; Veillonellales; Veillonellaceae.